GUGGGGAAUUUUGGACAAUGGGCGCAAGCCUGAUCCAGCAAUGCCGCGUGCAGGAAGAAGGCCUUCGGGUUGUAAACUGCUUUUGUACGGAACGAAACGGUCCGGGUUAAUACCCUGGGCUAAUGACGGUACCGUAAGAAUAAGCACCGGCUAACUACGUGCCAGCAGCCGCGGUAAUACAGAGGGUGCAAGCGUUAAUCGGAAUUACUGGGCGUAAAGCGUGCGCAGGCGGUGCUGUAAGACAGGCGUGAAAUCCCCGGGCUCAACCUGGGAAUUGCGCUUGUGACUGCAGUGCUGGAGUGCGGCAGAGGGGGAUGGAAUUCCGCGUGUAGCAGUGAAAUGCGUAGAUAUGCGGAGGAACACCGAUGGCGAAGGCAAUCCCCUGGGCCUGCACUGACGCUCAUGCACGAAAGCGUGGGGAGCAAACAGGAUUAGAUACCCUGGUAGUCC
RNAcentral lists this ribosomal RNA (450 nucleotides) under uncultured bacterium. RNAcentral's name for it is "partial 16S ribosomal RNA". It matches the Rfam family "Bacterial small subunit ribosomal RNA", at positions 354 to 796 of the family's 1533-position model. The record is from RNAcentral.